This 292-nucleotide ribosomal RNA is filed under the name uncultured bacterium. RNAcentral describes it as "partial 16S ribosomal RNA". It matches the Rfam family "Bacterial small subunit ribosomal RNA", at positions 505 to 796 of the family's 1533-position model. The record is from RNAcentral.
GUGCCAGCAGCCGCGGUAAUACGGGGGGUGCAAGCGUUGUUCGGAAUCAUUGGGCGUAAAGAGCGUGUAGGCGGCUUGACAAGUCAGAUGUGAAAUCCCUGGGCUUAACCCAGGAAGUGCAUUUGAAACUGUCUAGCUAGAGUAAGGGAGAGGAAAGUGGAAUUCCUGGUGUAGAGGUGAAAUUCGUAGAUAUCAGGAGGAACACCGGUGGCGAAGGCGACUUUCUGGCCCUAUACUGACGCUGAGACGCGAAAGCGUGGGUAGCAAACAGGAUUAGAAACCCGCGUAGUCC